This 4225-nucleotide unclassified non-coding RNA is filed under the name Hevea brasiliensis (rubber tree). Lineage: Eukaryota; Viridiplantae; Streptophyta; Magnoliopsida; Malpighiales; Euphorbiaceae. The record is from RNAcentral.
CGGGCACUUCGGAGUUUACAGUAGGAAAGUUAAGCCGGGGGAGAGACAAAGCGAGGCUGUACCCGUCCAUUAAAAAUCUGCGAAUUCCUAAAUUCUAAGCUAUUAUCGAAUAAUUGCUCGACUCAUGCGCUUCUUCUUUUAUGCACCUCUUCUCAGCUUAUACUUCCAAUUCGCUCUGUCAACCCUAGAAUCAGAUUGUUGUUUUGAGCAGAAAACUGCAGUGUUAAAUCUCUGUUGAACUUUAAUACGUGACUGUGAUUGAUAACCCACAAUCAGCCUCUGGGAAUGGUGAGGAUAAUGUUGGGUUCCGGAUGAUUUGCAUUGCAAGAGGUCAGAUGGGAAACAAUGGAGAUGCACUGCCAUGUCUAUGCCAGAUAAAACGGUUUGUGAGAAGCACUACAUACAGGCAAAGAGGAGAGCAGCUAAUUCUGCUUUAAGAGCUAGUCUAAAGAAAGCUAAAAGGAAAUCAUUGGGUGAAAGUGAUAUAUACUUGGAGAGUAAGAAUGAUGAUUUCGAUACACCACUCGUGAAUAUGAAGGUUGACAACCAUCCUCUUUCAGCCUCCAAAAAGAAGAAUAAAGAAAAGGUAUCAAAAAAUCAGGUUCAGUAUUCACCAGAAACACCUAUAAGAAGUCUGUCUGUGCGAAAUUCUCUAAAGCCAAAUGAUGAAUUGCGAAAAGAUCUAGAGCCUGAAGAGAAUUGGAAGUCGUAUAAAACGCCACCCUUUUCUACAAUGGAUUCAUCCAGGAGCAGGUCACAGAGGAGCUUUGAUGCCAGUGCUAUGACAGAAUACUCUGAUGGAAGCACAGAUUCUUCCGAAGAUGCUGGUGGGCAAACUUGCCAUCAGUGUCGAAGAAAUGAUAGAAACAGAGUAAUUUGGUGUCGCAGAUGUGAUAGAAGAGGCUUUUGCGAUAACUGUAUUUCUGCAUGGUACUCAGAAAUUUCAUUGGAAGAAAUUGAAAAGGUUUGUCCUGCAUGUCGUGGUAUCUGUAAUUGCAAGGUGUGCUUACGAGGGGAUAAUAUGGUAAAGGUAAGAAUACGAGAGAUACCUGUCAUAGACAAGUUGCAAUAUCUCUACUGUGUACUAUCUUCAGUACUCCCUGUAGUUAAGCAUAUCCAUCAUGAACAAUGCUCUGAAGUAGAACUGGAGAAGAAACUCCGUGGAACUGAUAUAGAUCUUAUCCGUGCCAAAUUGAAUGCAGAUGAGCAGAUGUGCUGCAAUGUAUGUAGGAUACCUAUCAUUGAUUAUCAUCGGCAUUGUGCAAAUUGCUCUUAUGAUCUAUGCCUUCAUUGCUGUCAAGAUCUUCGGGAAGCAUCAACGCAUCCUCUAGUAGAAAACCAGAUGGGUGGGAGGAGUCAAGACAAAGAGACUUUGUCAAAGGAAGUGAAAGAACCCAGGCUAAGACUCAAUUUGUCUGCCAAUUAUCCUGACUUGAAGGCAAAUCGUGAUGGCAGCAUUUCAUGCCCGCCAAAGGAGUAUGGUGGUUGUAAUUAUUCUUCAUUGAAUUUAAGUCGCAUUUUCAAGAUGAACUGGGUGGCAAAACUGGUGAAAAAUGUGGAGGAAAUGGUUAGUGGUUGUAAGGUCUGCGAGGCUGGCACUCUGCCAAUAUCUAGGUUAAAUGAUUCCACACUCUCUCAGUAUUCUCAUAGGGAGGAAAGUGAUGAUAAUUUCUUAUAUUGUCCAUCAUGUGAAGACAUAAGGACUGAAGGGAUAAACAAUUUCAGGAAGCAUUGGGUUAAGGGUGAGCCUGUUAUUGUGAAGCAGAUAUUUGAUAGCUCAUCCAUCUCAAGCUGGGAUCCAAUGGUCAUAUGGAGAGGGAUUCGGGAAACAUCAGAUGAGAAAAUGAAAGAUGAGAACAGAGUAGUGAAGGCCAUAGAUUGCUUAAAUUGGUCUGAGGUUGAUAUUGAACUUAGUCAGUUUAUAAAGGGAUACUCAGAGGGACGAAUUCGUGAUGAUGGUUCGCUACAGAUGUUGAAGUUGAAGGACUGGCCUUCCCCCAGUGCUUCUGAAGAGUUCUUAUUAUACCAGAGACCUGAAUUUAUUAGUAAAAUGCCUCUACUUGAGUAUAUCCAUUCAAGGUUGGGUCUUCUAAAUGUUGCUGCAAAGCUGCCUCAUUAUUCCUUGCAGAACGAUGCUGGACCCAAGAUUUAUAUAUCUUACGGGACCUAUGAGGAACUUGGUAAAGGUGAUUCACUGACCAAUCUGCAUAUCAAGAUGCGUGACAUGGUAUAUCUAUUGGUGCAUACACAUGAAGUGAAGCUUAAAAAUUUUGAGGGAAAUGAGUCACUUGACCAAGAAACAAGCUUGGGUGAAGGAACAUUAGCUGAUUUAUCAGUUGGCAGGCAGGAUUUACAGGAUGAAACAAAUACAGCUGCAGAUAACGAUGAGAGAAUGGAGGAGGAUCAAGGGGUUGAAACUACCACUAUGGUUGGAGAGGUUGAGAAAAUUGACAAUCGAGGGGUUGAAACUAACAGAAUGGAGUAUGUUGAGAGAAUGAAGGAUCAAAAAUUAAGGAAAGAUAAUGGAGAUAUCUCUGCAGAGACUCGUCCAGGUGUUCACUGGGAUGUCUUUCGUCGGCAGGAUGUUCCAAAAUUAAUUGAUUAUUUGAAAAAGCACUUUAAGGACUUUGGGAAGUUCGACGCUUCAGGAAGUCAAUUUGUGAAACAUUCUCUUUGUGAUGGAACAGUUUUCCUGAAUGGGAAUCAUAUGAGAAAAUUGAAGGAAACAUUUGGAAUUGAGCCAUGGUCGUUUGAGCAGCAUUUGGGGCAGGCUGUCUUUGUCGCUGCUGGAUGCCCUUUCCAAGUAAGGAAUCUUCAGGUGAGUUCAUUGUGACUGAUUGCCAUUGAAAGUUGGACAUAUUUAUAUUUCUGUAUAUGUCUUCAUUGUUUCUUAAAUUUAAGGUAAUUUUUAAUAUCUCGACUCGUAGACAAUGACGAAUCAAAUGUAAGUCCCAUGUAUUUUACUUUCAAAUGAUUGGAUAUCAAUUGAUAUCAAUUAAUUGAAUGGUCUAUGUUUUGUCUGUUCUUAGAUCACAUGUCUAGUGUGGAAAUUGAAAGUAUGUUUUUCUCUUCCAACAGGGAGACAUUCCUUGCUUGCUAUUGGAUAGAACAGAUUUCUGCAUUACUUUGCUAAAGAGUCUGAGUCAGUUUUCUUAAUUCAGAAUUCCAGUGAAAGUUUGCAGCUUUGAAUGUUUUAGUUUUGUUUCCUCGCAUGUAUUUGCGGUCCACUGUUCAGCUGGGUUUUGAUUUCUUAUCCCCUGAAAGUGUGGGGGAAGCUGCUAAAUUGGCUGAGGAAAUACGCAGUCUUCCAAAUGACCAUGAAGCAAAACUUCAAGUUUUGGAGGUCAGACAAAGGGAAUUUUCCUUAAAAUUAUUAAAUAUUUAUUCCUGAAAUUAUUUUGUGUGCCUUAUCUUCCAACUGCCUAUUACUUGUCCUGUUUGUGUCAAUGGAUUUUCUUAAUUUUCUUUGGGUCUUGAUACAGGUAGGAAAGAUAUCACUGUAUGCUGCUAGUUCAGCCAUUAAGGAAGUCCAGAAAUUGGUGCUUGAUCCUAAGUAAGCAAUAAGGCCUAAAAUUUGCCUAACGUUAGAUUAGUGUUUUGGUUUUGAUUUGUUCCUUUAGGCAAAGGAUGAGAAAUAGAAUAAUGUAUAUCAUUGAUCUAUUGGCCUGGUGGUUGUGGACCUAUGGCUUUAGCUUAGAAAAGUAGGGUAGGAAGUUACAAACUGGUUUUGCUCAAGUUUUCUCCAUGUUCUUUCCUAAUGCAUUCGCCAAAUCUUCUAAGUUUUUUGUUAUAUCUAUCUCAUCUCUUUUCUGUCCAGCACACCUUUUGCAGAAAUGCUAAGAGAUCUUUCUCUGUUGCAGACUUGGUGCAGAGAUUGGGUUUGAGGAUCCGAAUCUAACUGCGGCUGUUUCUGAAAACUUGGAGAAAGUUUCUAAGCAAAGAGAUAAGUUGUGCUUGAAUUCGUGUACAGUACUUGUAAUUUAGAUAUAGGAAAAUCGAAAGUAUCUGCCAUGGUGCUUGAUGGAAUUUAAAUGUAUAAAUGUAUUUAUAUGCAAUAUCAUGUAAUGUAAGUGUCUUCUGCAUUUAGGAUUUUCUAGAUUAGCGCCUUGUUUUUUAGAUAAUAUGGCACUUGUAAUUUUUUGUUUUAAAAAAGAUAAAGUCAAAGAGAAUAGUUUAAUGUCAUCUCUGUUUGAUUCAAUAUCAGAACUUUGUUGUUUCAUUUCAU